This 54-nucleotide ribosomal RNA is filed under the name Malassezia furfur. RNAcentral's name for it is "partial 5.8S ribosomal RNA". It matches the Rfam family "5.8S ribosomal RNA", at positions 1 to 53 of the family's 154-position model. From Rfam's summary of the family: 5.8S ribosomal RNA (5.8S rRNA) is a component of the large subunit of the eukaryotic ribosome. It is transcribed by RNA polymerase I as part of the 45S precursor that also contains 18S and 28S rRNA. Functionally, it is thought that 5.8S rRNA may be involved in ribosome translocation. The record is from RNAcentral. RNAcentral also lists the same sequence under 1 other name. Lineage: Eukaryota; Fungi; Basidiomycota; Malasseziomycetes; Malasseziales; Malasseziaceae.
CAACUUUCGACAACGGAUCUCUUGGUUCUCCCAUCGAUGAAGAACGCAGCGAAA